Molecule: non-coding RNA, 278 nt
Organism: Cinara cedri
Lineage: Eukaryota; Metazoa; Arthropoda; Insecta; Hemiptera; Aphididae
Source: the annotation of a GenBank genome assembly
AAUACCACGCGGGCGGCCGGCUGGUGUAAACUCGUACGCGUAGUAUUACCGCGUUAAGUACGGCCGUCGAGACAUCUGAACCCGUGUCCCGCUUUUCACGUAGUCCCGCGAAAAUCCCCGUUAGACAUUUAUAUCGUUUCGUAGUUCCGGUGUCGAAAAGACAGGAAAAAAAAAAAAAAAUUCGCAUAGUUUGUUGGGAAACAAUGAUUGGCGUUAUUCCUGUUUAACAUAAAUUAUUACCGUUGUAUUGGAAUAAAAUUUCAAAUGUCAUUUUGCCA